This 2762-nucleotide long non-coding RNA is filed under the name Lactuca sativa (garden lettuce). Its description in RNAcentral is "long non-coding RNA (LSAT_LNC002337)". The record is from RNAcentral. Lineage: Eukaryota; Viridiplantae; Streptophyta; Magnoliopsida; Asterales; Asteraceae.
AAUAUUCCAAAGAGUACAUGCGGCAAUCCAAAAUGCAGAAGUGAGAGUAGCGACUGACCUAUCGUGUUUCCGACUUCAUAUGCGCCUUCUUCAAUUUUCGAUUCCAUGACCAUGGAAAAUCCAAACGACACCAUCUCUCCCAAACCCAAAGCCCUAACGGUUAGUUCUCUUUCUUUUAUUUCUAGUUGAAGAUAAUUGAUUCUUUUCCUCUUUUCUGAUUCUCUGAAUUCAGCCUAGUCCCAACACAAAUAUGCAAUACUCGAUUUUUUUCUUCUUAUUUCUGAUUUCAUUUUUCUGAAAUACUAGCAAUUAAAAGUUAUCGGUUGUCGUUUUAUUUCUGAAUCAGAUGUUUUUUUAGUUGAGACUCACGAUUAACUGCACCAGUUGGAUUAAUUUCCUUUUGAAUCGUAUUCAAAUGAAAGUUUAAAGUAGAGUAAUCUUUCAGAAUUGUAUGUGUUACUGUGUAAGUCGAAUUUCUAAAAUCUAUGAACUUGUUUUGUUAAGAAUCUGCAAAACCGAUCUCUGAUUUUGCUUAAAUUAAUUUCUCUGAUUUUGAUUGUGUAUGAAUAAUUGUCCACUGAAAUAGAAGUUAUUGAUUUCGAUUUCGUAUGAAUCAUUGCUAAAUUCGAAUUUUCUGAAUUUUAAAGAUGAUUUUGUUUAAUUCGAUUUCUCUUUUUUCUAUUCUAAACAUCAAAUAAUCAGAUUUCUCAUUUCUUAUUUGAGCUCAAAGGAUUAUUAACAGUCAGGAUAGUAGUUGAGCAGGUAUUUUCUUUUCACUUUUUUUUAACCUGAUUUUUGUGAUUUUGCUUAAUCUCAAUUUUGAAGAUGAUUUGGUUUAAUUUUACUUCUCUGUUUUCUAAACUUUAGUUUUUUGUUAAUCUAUUUUUUGUUGAUUUGUGAAUAUAUAUGAUUGUUGAUUUGUUAUAUUUUUAUAAAUGUCCCCUAUAUGUCUGGAAGUGAAAAACGAAAAAAAAAAUAUAAAAUAAAACAAAAAACUGAACAAUUUAAUGAAGCUCAAAAAGAAUCGAUGAAUAAAUUUGUAAAAAAAAAAAUUAAAUUCUUCUAACAUACAAUAUAAUGCCACAUGUGAAAAUGUAUUACAUGAGGAAGAUAAUAUCUUUAGUUUUUUUUUAUAUUGUUGUUUUGUAUUAAUAGUUGCUAGGUUGUUUGGCUUUGGUGGUUUGUCAUGAAGCCUUUUCUUUCCAUAGGUGGAUUUGUAAUAUUAUUCUUUUAAUUAAUAAAAAUUUUUGGAGGUGUUCUUGUCCUUUACACAAAAAACAUUAAAAGGGCCCUAAUUUAUUAUUUUACCCCGGCUUUAAAUUGUCUAGGACGAGCCCUGAAGACACCAUUAUGGGAAUUGAGAACAUCAUAAAUCUUCAUCUUCAAUAUUAAGGGGAUGUCAUUCCACCACUACUACCGGUGAGCUUUUCCUGGCCAAACGUUCGGGUUUGCUAAUUGUGUUUAUAUUUAGCACCGGAUACCUAAUUGAAGAGAGUCAUUCCACCUGUUUCUAGUUUAACUUUUCAUAGUCUUGAAUUUAUCUGCUGGAAGAUGAUCAUCUUUAUUGGUUCUUCUACACGUAUAUGUAAUUUGUAAAAUUCUCUUUCAACUAGGUUUAGAUGAUGCCUUCAAAAGCCAUGAAUGGGAUGUUUAAUAUAUGGUCCUUAGACUAAGUAAAAUUUUGGAUUGCCUGCUGAAAUAUGCAACACUAAAUGUCGAAAUGAAACUCAAGUUUAAAACUGACUAAUGUGUAUCUAUACUUUAUAUGGAGGUUACUAUCGGACAUGAGAUUGAGAUUUAAGGGUUUAACUUAGCUCUAAGAUGGUUGUCAUCUCACCAAAAGAAACAAAUAACAUCUUUUAUGCAGAUUGCUAAUCAAAUUGUAAAUAGAAAUCAUUGUUUUAAGGGUUGUUUUAAUGAUGAAAUUAAAUAUUUGGUGUCUUGAAAUAUAAAUUCUGAUGAUAUAUUUAAUUGAAACUUGGAAAAAAGAAUUUUAAAUAUAUAAUACGGUUGGUUUUUAUAGCAAAAAAAGUCAUCUUUUCGACACAUCAACAACAUUUUCAGUUUUAUAAAAUGUUCGUAAACUCCUAUGGCCACCGUAAGAUGUCGUCAACAAAUGUAUUCCUUCUCUUUUCCUUUCAUUUUAGCUUCCAAUUUUUAUAAUAUUUCCAAUUUACAUGUUCUCUUUUUUUUCCUAGGACGUUAAUUCUUAUGCAACUCAUUGCUUUGAGUAAUCAUCAUCGUUAACAAGAGCAAUAGCACAAGGAACUUGGAGAUGUGAAGUUCUUUUUCUAGACAAAAAGAGCAUACCAUAGUUUUCCAUUUUUUUUAACUUUACUUGUUAUUUGAUUGGGAAAAGUUUCAAAUUUUUGCAGGUAUACAAUUUCAAUUUCUUGCAAAAUGUCUCUAGCAACAAGGUAACUAUUUUUAAUGUAGUUUAUGAUUUAAGACAACAAUGUGUAUUAAAAUGGAGAUUGCAUUAUUUGAUCUUCUUAAGUUACCUACACUUAAUCAUAUAUUAGUAUUUCUAUAAGUGAGUAUUCUUAUACAAUUAUAUUACUAUGUGAGUAUAUAUUUUUGUUUUGGCUUAGGUUCAAAAUUAUUCCAAUAGUAAUUUAGAAAUAACUUCAUCUUCAUUUUUUUAUGCAGAGGUUUAUCAGUAACUUGCUUAGAGUGUUGGAUGCCUGGAUUGCAACUAGAUUGAAGAAGUGUUAUUUACAAAUGUUUAAACAUGCAAAAGCACGAAAUCAAUACAAAAAAAA